Molecule: ribosomal RNA, 676 nt
Filed under: uncultured bacterium
Lineage: Bacteria
Description: bacterial SSU rRNA
Rfam family: Bacterial small subunit ribosomal RNA
Source: RNAcentral
AACGAACGCUGGCGGCAGGCUUAACACAUGCAAGUCGAGCGCCCCGCAAGGGGAGCGGCAGACGGGUGAGUAACGCGUGGGAAUCUACCCAGCUCUACGGAAUAACUCAGGGAAACUUGUGCUAAUACCGUAUACGUCCGAUAGGAGAAAGAUUUAUCGGAGUUGGAUGAGCCCGCGUUGGAUUAGCUAGUUGGUGGGGUAAUGGCCUACCAAGGCGACGAUCCAUAGCUGGUCUGAGAGGAUGAUCAGCCACACUGGGACUGAGACACGGCCCAGACUCCUACGGGAGGCAGCAGUGGGGAAUAUUGGACAAUGGGCGCAAGCCUGAUCCAGCCAUGCCGCGUGAGUGAUGAAGGCCCUAGGGUUGUAAAGCUCUUUCACCGGUGAAGAUAAUGACGGUAACCGGAGAAGAAGCCCCGGCUAACUUCGUGCCAGCAGCCGCGGUAAUACGAAGGGGGCUAGCGUUGUUCGGAAUUACUGGGCGUAAAGCGCACGUAGGCGGAUUGUUAAGUUAGGGGUGAAAUCCCAGGGCUCAACCCUGGAACUGCCUCUAAUACUGGCAAUCUCGAGUUCGAGAGAGGUGAGUGGAAAUUCCGAGUGUAGAGGUGAAAUUCGUAGAUAUUCGGAGGAACACCAGUGGCGAAAGGCGGCUCACUGGGCUCGAUACUGACGCUGA